AUGAUGUGGAGAGAUGGCCUACUGAUUAAACUCUGUAAAUUGGGUGUUAGCGGGAGGAUGUACGGGUGGAUAAUGGAUUUUUUAAAGGGGCGACAUAUUCAAGUGAGGAUUGGGAAGGUUUUUUCUGAAAGGUUUUUGGUAGAAAAUGGUACACCUCAAGGGAGCAUAGUGAGCCCUUUGUUAUUUUCUUUGAUGAUAGAUGAUGUGUUUAAUGAUUUAGAGGCAGGGGUGGGAUGUUCACUGUUUGCUGAUGAUGGAGCAAUAUGGAAAAGAGGGAAAAAUAUAGAGUAUAUUGUGAAGAAACUGCAGGGAACAAUUAGAAGAGUCGAAGAGUGGUCUUAUAAGUGGGGUUUUAAAUUUUCAGUUGAUAAAACCAAGGUGAUGUUUUUUACAAGGAAGAGAGUUGGUAAGGACGUCAAGCUUAAGUUGUAUGAUCAAGAAUUAGAAAGGGUGAGUAAAUUUAAGUUUCUUGGAUUGUGGUUUGAUGAGAGGUUAACAUGGGCUGCACAUAUUCAGAAGGUGGUGGACAAAUGUAAAAAAAGUUCAUCAUUGGUCAGUCUACAGCAUAGUCACUCAGACAGUAGAGCAGAUGUUUUGGCGGAAAUUCAGCAGACACUUUUCCGGAUACACAUGAUGGGACUUGCAGUCGUGUUUUUAUGGGUUCCAGCGCACUGUGGAGUAUGGGCGAAUGAAAAGGCAGAUAGAGUUGCAAAGGAGGCCGUAAAACAUGGGGUGGUUGACAUGGCUGUUAGUUUUGGCCAAGCAGAGAUAAGGAGUAUGGUAAGGCAAGAUAUGAGAGCAAGAUGGCAAAAGCAGUGGGAGGAAGAAAAGAAGGAACGAUGGUUGUAUAAAAUUCAAAGGAGGGUGGGAGGAAUGAGAAACGCAGGACGGACUAGGAGGGAGGAGGUGAUCAUAUCCAGACUGAGAUUUGGACAUACUGGCUUGAAUAAUACAUUAUUCAUGAUAAGGAAACAUAGUACCGGAAAAUGUGAUUACUGUGGGGUAGAGGAAACUGUAGAACAUGUCAUGUUGCAGUGUCAGAGUUAUCCGGUUGUUCAGUCUGACGUCACUAGCCAUGUCUGGGCCUAA
This 1089-nucleotide long non-coding RNA is filed under the name Oreochromis niloticus (Nile tilapia). RNAcentral describes it as "lncRNA (ENSONIG00000030084.1)". Lineage: Eukaryota; Metazoa; Chordata; Actinopteri; Cichliformes; Cichlidae. The record is from RNAcentral.